AAGACUACUUUCAGAGAUCAUGUCUAUGGUUCACUACUAGAGAAGUUUCCCUGAAACCAUGAGGAGGAGGCGUAGUGUUCUCUGCAGAGCGCCCAGCUGGUUCUUCUCAGUGUUGUUUCUAAAACUGCCAUUUGUCAUUGGUGAUCCGUCUUCUCUUCCUUCGGGAGAGCAGGAGGGAGAGGACACUGUCUGA
RNAcentral lists this small nucleolar RNA (193 nucleotides) under Rhinolophus ferrumequinum (greater horseshoe bat). RNAcentral's name for it is "Small nucleolar RNA U3 (ENSRFEG00010014914.1)". It matches the Rfam family "Small nucleolar RNA U3". Rfam says of the family: Small nucleolar RNAs (snoRNAs) are involved in the processing and modification of rRNA in the nucleolus. There are two main classes of snoRNAs: the box C/D class, and the box H/ACA class. The record is from Rfam by way of RNAcentral. Lineage: Eukaryota; Metazoa; Chordata; Mammalia; Chiroptera; Rhinolophidae.